AUUGAACGCUGGCGGCAGGCUUAACACAUGCAAGUCGAGCGGGGGAAGAUAGCUUGCUACUGGACCUAGCGGCGGACGGGUGAGUAAUGCUUAGGAAUCUGCCUAUUAGUGGGGGACAACAUCUCGAAAGGGAUGCUAAUACCGCAUACGUCCUACGGGAGAAAGCAGGGGAUCUUCGGACCUUGCGCUAAUAGAUGAGCCUAAGUCGGAUUAGCUAGUUGGUGGGGUAAGGGCCUACCAAGGCGACGAUCUGUAGCGGGUCUGAGAGGAUGAUCCGCCACACUGGGACUGAGACACGGCCCAGACUCCUACGGGAGGCAGCAGUGGGGAAUAUUGGACAAUGGGGGGAACCCUGAUCCAGCCAUGCCGCGUGUGUGAAGAAGGCCUUAUGGUUGUAAAGCACUUUAAGCGAGGAGGAGGCUACUCUAGUUAAUACCUAGGGAUAGUGGACGUUACUCGCAGAAUAAGCACCGGCUAACUCUGUGCCAGCCGCCGCGGUAA
Molecule: ribosomal RNA, 501 nt
Filed under: uncultured bacterium
Lineage: Bacteria
Description: partial 16S ribosomal RNA
Rfam family: Bacterial small subunit ribosomal RNA
Source: RNAcentral